UACAGAGGGGGCAAGCGUUGUUCGGAAUUACUGGGCGUAAAGGGCGCGUAGGUGGCCUUCUAAGUUGAACGUGAAAUCCCUGGGCUCAACCCGGGAACUGCGUCCGAUACUGGCAGGCUUGAAUUCGGGAGAGGGAUGCGGAAUUCCAGGUGUAGCGGUGAAAUGCGUAGAUAUCUGGAGGAACACCGGUGGCGAAGGCGGCAUCCUGGACCGAAAUUGACGCUGAGGCGCGAAAGCCAGGGGAGCAAACGGG
Molecule: ribosomal RNA, 253 nt
Filed under: uncultured bacterium
Lineage: Bacteria
Description: partial 16S ribosomal RNA
Rfam family: Bacterial small subunit ribosomal RNA
Source: RNAcentral